GGUUCCUUGGCGCAGUCGGUGAGCGCGCUCCCCUGUCACGGGAGAGGUCGCGGGUUCGAGUCCCGCAGGAACCG
RNAcentral lists this transfer RNA (74 nucleotides) under Yimella lutea. Its description in RNAcentral is "tRNA-Asp". It matches the Rfam family "tRNA". Rfam says of the family: Transfer RNA (tRNA) molecules are approximately 80 nucleotides in length. Their secondary structure includes four short double-helical elements and three loops (D, anti-codon, and T loops). The record is from RNAcentral. Lineage: Bacteria; Bacillati; Actinomycetota; Actinomycetes; Micrococcales; Dermacoccaceae.